CCGGGCUUAAAUUGCAACUGACUGAAUCGGAAACGGUUCUUUCUUCGGACAGUUGUGAA
RNAcentral lists this ribosomal RNA (59 nucleotides) under Bacteroides stercoris ATCC 43183. RNAcentral describes it as "partial 16S ribosomal RNA". Lineage: Bacteria; Pseudomonadati; Bacteroidota; Bacteroidia; Bacteroidales; Bacteroidaceae. The record is from RNAcentral.